UCGGAACCGUUGAAAAGAGAGAGUCUUGCUCUUCUCGAAUACAGUGGCGAAGCGGGUGAGAUAACACGUGAGACAACCUGUGCCCCGGACUCUGGGAUAAACAGCUGGAAACAGGCUGUCUAAUACCGGAAUACGAAGCUGGCGAAGGCAUUCUUCAGCAGCUGGAAAGAAUUUCGGUCCGGGAUGGGCUCGCGGCCUAUCAGCUAGUUGUGUGAGGUAACGGCUCACCAAGGCGUCGACGGGUAGCCGGCCUGAGAGGGUGACCGGCCACACUGGGACUGAGACACGGCCCAGACUCCUACGGGAGGCAGCAGUGGGGAAUAUUGCACAAUGGGCGAAAGCCUGAUGCAGCAACGCCGCGUGAGGGAUGACGGCCUUCGGGUUGUAAACCUCUUUUAGCAGGGAAGAAGCGAAAGUGACGGUACCUGCAGAAAAAGCGCCGGCUAACUACGUGCCAGCAGCCGCGGUAAUACGUAGGGCGCAAGCGUUAUCCGGAAUUAUUGGGCGUAAAGAGCUCGUAGGCGGUUUGUCGCGUCUGCUGUGAAAACCCGAGGCUCAACCUCGGGCCUGCAGUGGGUACGGGCAGACUAGAGUGCGGUAGGGGAGAUUGGAAUUCCUGGUGUAGCGGUGGAAUGCGCAGAUAUCAGGAGGAACACCGAUGGCGAAGGCAGAUCUCUGGGCCGUAACUGACGCUGAGGAGCGAAAGGGUGGGGAGCAAACAGGCUUAGAUACCCUGGUAGUCCACCCCGUAAACGUUGGGAACUAGUUGUGGGGUCCAUUCCACGGAUUCCGUGACGCAGCUAACGCAUUAAGUUCCCCGCCUGGGGAGUACGGCCGCAAGGCUAAAACUCAAAGGAAUUGACGGGGACCCGCACAAGCGGCGGAGCAUGCGGAUUAAUUCGAUGCAACGCGAAGAACCUUACCAAGGCUUGACAUAUACGAGAACGGGCCAGAAAUGGUCAACUCUUUGGACACUCGUAAACAGGUGGUGCAUGGUUGUCGUCAGCUCGUGUCGUGAGAUGUUGGGUUAAGUCCCGCAACGAGCGCAACCCUCGUUCUUAUGUUGCCAGCACGUAAUGGUGGGAACUCAUGGGAUACUGCCGGGGUCAACUCGGAGGAAGGUGGGGAUGACGUCAAAUCAUCAUGCCCCUUAUGUCUUGGGCCUUCACGCAUUGCUACAAUGGCCGGUACAAAGGGCUGCAAUACCGCAAGUGUGGAGCGAAUCCCAAAAAGCCGGUCCCAGUUCGGAUUGAGCUCUGGCAACUCGAACUCAUUGAUAGUCUCGGAGAUC
This 1291-nucleotide ribosomal RNA is filed under the name Microbacterium saccharophilum. RNAcentral's name for it is "bacterial SSU rRNA". It matches the Rfam family "Bacterial small subunit ribosomal RNA", at positions 62 to 1342 of the family's 1533-position model. The record is from RNAcentral. Lineage: Bacteria; Bacillati; Actinomycetota; Actinomycetes; Micrococcales; Microbacteriaceae.